UCUUGGCACAAACUCUCUGGGCUUCUCUGUUGUGAACACAGGAUGCCGAAGUGAGCAAGGUAUAAUCAGAGGUUGCUGUAAAUACAUCAAUGCAAAAUGUUGAUGGAGCAAGUCUCUGGCAUCGGUGAGGAAUCCGACACUGAAGAGAGAAAGGAGCCAGUGAUAUGCAGACCGCUGUGUGGUUAACUACAUCCCUAAGUUCAUAUCAUUCACAACUUUUGAAGUCAUACUUCUGAUUCCAGGGCCCAAAUCGUUUAUGUAAGUGGUGAGCAGCAGCUGGCCCCAGCACCAAUCCUUGUGGAACACUCCUUCCCACCUUUUGCUAGUCUCAAUCACUACUUUUAACCCCUGCUUUCUGGUAUGGUUUCCUGGUCAAAAAAAAUAGCAGGUAGGGGUUCUGGUGCUCUUCCCCACAGUUUUCCUUGAUUUGGCAGCUGAGAAGAUCACAACAGAUGUGCCACGACAGGACUGAAAUCUGCACUAGCUUCCUGGGAGCAUCUUUUCCAUUGUUCACUGGGCAGAGCGCUGAUGCAGAUAAGAAUUUUGCUUGCGACUGGUGAAGCCAAACUCCGUGAAAAGCAUCAAAGCGUGAAAGUUCAGUUUUUCACUUGCAGAGAUCCACUGUGUAGGCUCCUUUGAAAUCUUGCAGCACUGUUCUGAGUUCCCAGCUUUUAUUGUCGAGGGUUGGAGUUCUUAAUUUGUGGCCCCUGCGCUUGUAGAUCUCAGCAGGGAAACUAUUCAAACAGCAAAAUAAAAGCAAAAUAUGGUGGAUCGUGGAACUUGGAACUAAAAACAGAAAGUGCUGGAAAAACUCAGCAGGUCUGGCAGUAUCUCUGGAGAUAGAAACAGAAUUAACGUUUCAAGUCCAAUCUGAUUCUUCUUUGGUAUUAUUCAAGCAGACCAGAUGCCAACAAUUAAAGCAGCAAACUCAAACUAAGCUUUAACCUAUGAAGGAUAAGUGGUGGAAAAUGAAGCUCGAGUUACUACAAUCAGGCACUGACCAAAAGGACAUAAAGCGCUUCUAUGACAAGCUAAAAGAUGCACGGACUGAAAGUACAAAGUUGCUAAUUAACCAAGUAUAGUGUUUAAUUGUUCUGUGUUUCAUUAUGUGAAUCUGGUAACUGAUUGAUGCUCACUGUGUUUGAUUGAUUAAGCCUGGAUGCUGACUCAGAGCAAAGUAAACAGACACCACGGAAGCUACUAGAAGCUGAGCUGGGAGGAUGGUGUAGGCAUAUUUAAGCAUUGUAUAAAAACUCUGUAAAUAUAGUUCCUGCACUUAGAAACUAGUGUCAUCUCUACAUUGCUCUGAGGGAAUUCAAUUAUGUAAAAUGUACAACAUCAAGCAGAAAUCAUGUUACUCUGGGCCAACAUUUUAUCCAAUUCCUCAUCAGUCCUUCUGCUGUGUCUGAUGAUGUGCUAAAUGAAGUAUCACAACUGUGCAUGAGCUUGCCAUCCUCCCUCCCCAGCAAUGGCUGAAUUCCAAAUUAUGUUCUAUCAAAUGUCAGGUGGAAAAGCAAGUGGAUUUGGAUUGUUCAAUUUCAUUAGUGGGUUGUAGAUUACUGAUGAAAUAGAAGAAAUAUCCCAUUUUCAUUAAAGAAAGAAAUGAAACCUC
Carcharodon carcharias (great white shark) is the source of this 1612-nucleotide long non-coding RNA. RefSeq lists it as uncharacterized. NCBI's taxonomy places the organism in Eukaryota, Metazoa, Chordata, Chondrichthyes, Lamniformes, Lamnidae. The record is from RefSeq and is a predicted model, not a curated record. The transcript has 2 exons.